RNAcentral lists this long non-coding RNA (601 nucleotides) under Bos taurus (domestic cattle). RNAcentral describes it as "long non-coding RNA NONBTAT018662". The record is from RNAcentral. Lineage: Eukaryota; Metazoa; Chordata; Mammalia; Artiodactyla; Bovidae.
CAAUCGUUAUUUAUUUUGCAAAGACAUCAUUACAGAGAUUCAUUUUAUAUGCAAAUUGAAAAGUUAUAAGUCAUUGAACUGCAUAGAUAAAGCUAAUGUGGUUAAUUAACAAAUGUGUUUUAUAGCUACAAAAUAACUGUUUCACAUUAAAUUACAUAAAAUGUAAGAAAACAUAAAACCAGUCAAUCACUGAUCUUUUAUAUUUUGAUAAGGGCCAUCUGGGAAUAGUUAUUUACUUUGCAAAGUAAGUUCACAACAGAACAUAACUAGGGGGUAUGACAGAUAAACUGGGCAACCCUAUUCAGCCUCUGAAGUAUAUUAGAGAAAUUCUCUUGUUUACUGCUUUAGGAUGCCUUUUAAAUGAUGGUUUAUUUUGAUCUAUUCAAAAAUAUUUAUACAAAAAUUAUAUGUGACAGCAGCUUUAUAUCAACUAAGUGAAAUAAACUGGACAAAAAUAUGUGUUAAUGUUUUUUCUAAGACUGAUAAAAUUUCAUAUUAAUUGGAAAUUAAGGCAACUGAACACACUUGGGAAAAAUUCAGGUUGCUUUAUAUUAGCCAGAAAUGUCAUUGUUAAAUUUUAACAAAGACCAAACAUUUUGCA